RNAcentral lists this ribosomal RNA (117 nucleotides) under Bacteriovoracales bacterium. Lineage: Bacteria; Pseudomonadati; Bdellovibrionota; Bacteriovoracia; Bacteriovoracales. The record is from RNAcentral.
AGGCGUGCCUAUAGCGAAGGGGAAACACCCGAUCCCAUCUCGAACUCGGAAGUAAAGUCCUUCAGCGGCGAAGAUAGUGCCAGGGUAACUUGGUGUGAAAUUAGCACGGUGCGCCUU